ACGAACGCUGGCGGCGUGCCUAAUACAUGCAAGUAGAACGCACAGUUUAUACCGUAGCUUGCUACACCAUAGACUGUGAGUUGCGAACGGGUGAGUAACGCGUAGGUAACCUGCCUGGUAGCGGGGGAUAACUAUUGGAAACGAUAGCUAAUACCGCAUAAUAUUGAUUAUUGCAUGAUAAUUGAUUGAAAGAUGCUAUUGCAUCACUACCAGGUGGACCUGCGUUGUAUUAGCUAGUAGGUGAGGUAACGGCUCACCUAGGCGACGAUACAUAGCCGACCUGAGAGGGUGAUCGGCCACACUGGGACUGAGACACGGCCCAGACUCCUACGGGAGGCAGCAGUAGGGAAUCUUCGGCAAUGGACGAAAGUCUGACCGAGCAACGCCGCGUGAGUGAAGAAGGUUUUCGGAUCGUAAAGCUCUGUUGUAAGAGAAGAACGGGUGUGAGAGUGGAAAGUUCACACUGUGACGGUAUCUUACCAGAAAGGGACGGCUAACUACGUG
Molecule: ribosomal RNA, 504 nt
Filed under: uncultured bacterium
Lineage: Bacteria
Description: partial 16S ribosomal RNA
Rfam family: Bacterial small subunit ribosomal RNA
Source: RNAcentral